This 479-nucleotide ribosomal RNA is filed under the name Mesovelia amoena. Its description in RNAcentral is "eukaryotic LSU rRNA". It matches the Rfam family "Eukaryotic large subunit ribosomal RNA", at positions 699 to 1139 of the family's 3401-position model. Lineage: Eukaryota; Metazoa; Arthropoda; Insecta; Hemiptera; Mesoveliidae. The record is from RNAcentral.
CGCAGAACCCCAAAGGCGAAAUGAAAGUGAAGGGAGCUUUGCUUUCCGAGGGAUGAUGGCCGGGCCCCUCCGGGCUCGGCCCGCAAUCCCGGGGCGUCUCCGGCUCAUUGCGAGCGGAGGCGCACCUUGAGCGUACGCGUUGGGACCCGAAAGAUGGUGAACUAUGCCUGGCCAGGACGAAGCCAGGGGAAACCCUGGUGGAGGUCCGUAGCGAUUCUGACGUGCAAAUCGAUCGUUAGAGCUGGGUAUAGGGGCGAAAGACCAAUCGAACCAUCUAGUAGCUGGUUCCCUCCGAAGUUUCCCUCAGGAUAGCUGGCGCUCAUGAGAACCGAGUCUCAUCUGGUAAAGCGAAUGAUUAGAGGCCUUGGGGUCGAAACGACCUCAACCUAUUCUCAAACUUUAAAUGGAUGAGAACCCUGGCUUGCUUAACGUGAAGCCGGGGAUGAUCUUGGAUCCGAGUGCCAAGUGGGCCAUUUUUG